GUUGCUGCUGCAAAUGCCACUGAGAGCUCUUUUGGUGCAAAUUUGUUUAGCUGCAUGUCUUCUUUAGAUGUUUUUGAUCCAGGCUACAUCAGACUCAAAAGGCCCCUGGCAAAAGCACUUCUUGCGCUCUCUGUAGCAGUCAUGGUGCUGAUUUUGAUCCUAUUCUUGGUAAAAUUUGUGGCCUUGAAGAAGGGAAAGAGU
This is a long non-coding RNA of Hibiscus syriacus, 201 nucleotides long. RefSeq lists it as uncharacterized. Lineage: Eukaryota; Viridiplantae; Streptophyta; Magnoliopsida; Malvales; Malvaceae. The transcript has 3 exons. The record is from RefSeq and is a predicted model, not a curated record.